GAUGAACGCUGGCGGCGUGCCUAAUACAUGCAAGUCGAGCGAGCGGACGAGAAGCUUGCUUCUCUGAUGUUAGCGGCGGACGGGUGAGUAACACGUGGAUAACCUACCUAUAAGACUGGGAUAACUUCGGGAAACCGGAGCUAAUACCGGAUAAUAUUUUGAACCGCAUGGUUCAAAAGUGAAAGACGGUCUUGCUGUCACUUAUAGAUGGAUCCGCGCUGCAUUAGCUAGUUGGUAAGGUAACGGCUUACCAAGGCAACGAUGCAUAGCCGACCUGAGAGGGUGAUCGGCCACACUGGAACUGGGACACGGUCCAGACUCCUACGGGAGGCAGCAGUAGGGAAUCUUCCGCAAUGGGCGAAAGCCUGACGGAGCAACGCCGCGUGAGUGAUGAAGGUCUUCGGAUCGUAAAACUCUGUUAUUAGGGAAGAACAUAUGUGUAAGUAACUGUGCACAUCUUGACGGUACCUAAUCAGAAAGCCACGGCUAACUACGUG
RNAcentral lists this ribosomal RNA (497 nucleotides) under uncultured bacterium. Its description in RNAcentral is "partial 16S ribosomal RNA". It matches the Rfam family "Bacterial small subunit ribosomal RNA", at positions 28 to 507 of the family's 1533-position model. The record is from RNAcentral.